RNAcentral lists this ribosomal RNA (301 nucleotides) under uncultured bacterium. RNAcentral's name for it is "partial 16S ribosomal RNA". It matches the Rfam family "Bacterial small subunit ribosomal RNA", at positions 509 to 807 of the family's 1533-position model. The record is from RNAcentral.
CAGCAGCCGCGGUAAUACGUAGGGUGCAAGCGUUAAUCGGAAUUACUGGGCGUAAAGCGUGCGCAGGCGGUUUGUUAAGACAGACGUGAAAUCCCCGGGCUCAACCUGGGAACUGCAUUUGUGACUGGCAAGCUAGAGUGUGGCAGAGGGGGGUGGAAUUCCGCGUGUAGCAGUGAAAUGCGUAGAUAUGCGGAGGAACACCGAUGGCGAAGGCAGCCCCCUGGGCCAACACUGACGCUCAUGCACGAAAGCGUGGGGAGCAAACAGGAUUAGAUACCCCCGUAGUCCCUGUCUCUUAUAC